GGCCGAGAGAGCCGGAGUACAUGUCCUGAGGACAGGCUGUAGGGAUGGAGGGAGGGCAGCUGCCCAAAAGUGUCACCAGGAGGCAAGGACAAAGACACAGCCCUGACGCUUCUCAAUCAAGUUUAGGAGUGAGGGUUAUACCUGAGGUUGCACAGCAAGAAGAGAAGAUUAAAUACGGAAGCACAGGGCACACACUGCAGCUUCAUUCAAGCAGUAUUUGCACGUGGUGGGAAGGUUAAAAGGCACAGAUACGCACAAAAACAAGUCCUAUUAACGUCUGCUGUGUGUCAUUCCGGGUUUUUAUGCACAAACCUAUGCAUAAACAUACACCUUCUAGAAAAGUGCCACAGAUUUUUAGGUUAGGAGAAAUUGUGUUAUGUUGAUGGGUUGGCUUUUGGAGAUGGGAGCCUGCGUCAUUCAAAUGUGUGCUUCUGGAGUCAUGAAAAGUAUCCGAUUCUAUUACCCGUGUGAGGCGGCUCAGCAGCACAUGCUCCAGGAAGGGGGCAUUUUGUCCCCAGGGACUCACUCCUCCUCCUCUGCCCUAGUGGCGCUGAGCCACCACCAUGGCACCAGGAGCUGUUUCCAGCACUCAGACUUGAAAAGGCACAAGGAACACGAGCAGAAGUCAAAAGACAAGAACAGCCUUGGAGUCCCCGCCAGACCUCGAUGAGCAAUGCCUGGGAGGAACGCCAAAGCCGCCAAUGGGCUUAGCCUUGACAAGAAAUCAGGUCAGAGAUAACAAAGACAAAGGGGCUCCUUAUCCUCAGGGACGGCUGAUGGUUAGCAGGUGACACCAAGGGAGACCUGCACAACUUCCUCCCAGCAGGGAGCAGACCUUCGAUGAGGAGUUUCAACCCUUGAAAAGACAGAACAAGCACAUCUGAGACGGGAAUGAGCCCACCUGACGUCCAGCGUCUAGCUACUGCCAGUGGCCGAGAGAAAUGCUUCCCACAGCACCAAUGCCUGAGGUGUGGGCAGGACGCCAUCAGUCAUCCUGGAAAAGCUACAGGGGACGGGAGUCGAGAGCAGAUGGUGAACGUGACGGCAGGAAUCAUUUUCUGCAUUGCAUUCAGUCUAUCCCCGCUCUCUAGGGGAUAUUUAGCAAAUGGUCGCUGACCUCUGACCCUGCUCCCACGGAGAGCUGGUCUCCGCCCCUCCCACAGAGCCAGUGGGCACAACCAAGCAGUUGUAAUGCAGCCAUCAGAAACUGGAAACAUGAGAAAAUGCACAUGCAUUUAUAUCACAUCAUGCUACCACAAGCAGCAGCUUUCCUACUGAAAUAGAAGUAAAUGUUAUUCAUCUAUUUGUUCGAGAAAUGCUUCUGAGUUCACUGUGUGCUGGGGCUAUUCUGAAGACACACAACUGAGCAAAAUGGUCCCUGCCCAAAGUCCUCUGCCCGGCCAAUGGCUGUGGUGUCACCCACUGCUGAGCCCUUGGUCCUCCUGGUCUCCACCACUGGUGCCCAGGGUUCUGCCUUCAGCUCUGAGGGCUGCCUGAGCUGCAGCCCUGCGCACCUCAGUGCCUCACUGCUCUGGGGAACGCAGAGCCCACAGCACGUGCAGCUGCCAGUUAGGGCGCUCAGUCCCGUGGCUGCCCUGGGCCGGCAUCCUGGGGCUCACUGAGGUCCCCCUCUCCAUGCCUCCCAUCACUGGGGACAGCUCGACCUCCAGCCACAGGCCGCGCAGCUACCUCCAUGUCACCUGAGCCCACCCCUUCUCCAUCCCACGGCCACUGCCUGGUCAGUGUCAUUGCCAUUUCUGGCCUGGGCUCCUGGUUUUCGGGCCACCACGCUGCCUCAGAUUCACACUGCACAGCGUUAGUUUUUCCUAACAUGCCACCAUGAUCGCUACCUUUUUACAGAAAACCUUCAUUACAGUCCUCAGAGUCAAGUCCAAAUUCACACCAGUGACACGUAAAUGCAGGGAGUUACAGAACAUGAACCUACCUACAAAAGUAUUCAUGUGUUUAUGUACAGACGGAAAUAUGCCGGCUGUUCCACAACAGCUGUAACCUCAGCAUGAGGAGGCGGUGGUGAUUUUCACUUUCUUCUUUGUACCUUUGCGUAUUAUUGUAAUACAUACAAUGUCGGGGUCCUUUUUAAAACACGAACAUGUUGCGCUUUUACAGAAACAAUAAAACACUGGAUAGGUUAAUCGGAGGCUGGUCCUUCUCCGCCUUUGCUGCGUUCGCUCUGCAUUUUCCUCUCCGGGUCCUCGCCCUGGCGCCUGCCUCAACCCGUGCCUUCUCCCAGCACCCACACACCCUCGUCAGGGCUCAGAUCAGGCAGGGCCACCCCUCCAAGCUCCAUGACCAAGCGCGCUGCACAGCCUCAGCCCUCGGCCUCGUGCUUGCUGGGAAGCCUGCACCCCGUAAGCCAGCAUCACUCCGUGACCAGAGGAGGGCGCGAGCUGCACGACUUCUCUCUGCUCAUCGGAAGCCGCUAAGGUGUCCUGCCUAAGACCUCAGCACUCGUGCAGCUUUUCAGUUCCUCCGUAAGGGUGCACAUGA
This is a long non-coding RNA of Hipposideros armiger (great roundleaf bat), 2508 nucleotides long. RefSeq lists it as uncharacterized. The record is from RefSeq and is a predicted model, not a curated record. The transcript has 3 exons. Lineage: Eukaryota; Metazoa; Chordata; Mammalia; Chiroptera; Hipposideridae.